RNAcentral lists this transfer RNA (70 nucleotides) under Lysmata amboinensis (scarlet cleaner shrimp). RNAcentral describes it as "tRNA-Lys". Lineage: Eukaryota; Metazoa; Arthropoda; Malacostraca; Decapoda; Hippolytidae. The record is from RNAcentral.
CGUUAGAUGACUGAAUGUAAGUGCAGAUCUUUUAAAUCUGCUAUAGUAGUUUCACAUCUACUUCUGGCGA